UGGGAACCACCAUCUCUUGAAUCCCUGCUGUUUGACACUGAUAGGUAUUGAAUAUUUGCAUGUACUGUAAGGGGUGUGUGUGUGUGUGUGUGUGUGUGUGUGUGUGUGUGUGUGUGUGUGUGU
This is a long non-coding RNA of Oreochromis niloticus (Nile tilapia), 123 nucleotides long. RefSeq lists it as uncharacterized. NCBI's taxonomy places the organism in Eukaryota, Metazoa, Chordata, Actinopteri, Cichliformes, Cichlidae. The transcript has 3 exons. The record is from RefSeq and is a predicted model, not a curated record.